CUGUCCUAUGUUGCCAGCAAGUAAUGUCGGGGACUCAUAGGAGACUGCCGGUGACAAACCGGAGGAGGGUGGGGAUGACGUCAAGUCAUCAUGCCCCUUAUGUCCUGGGCUACACACGUGCUACAUUGGCCGGUACAAAGGGCUGCAAACCCGUGAGGGGGAGCGAAUCCCAAAAAGCCGGUCCCGGUUCGGAUUGAAGGCUGAAACUCGCCUUCAUGAAGGCGGAGUUGCUAGUAAUCGCGGAUCAGCAAUUCCGCGGUGAAUACGUUCCCGGGCCUU
This 279-nucleotide ribosomal RNA is filed under the name uncultured bacterium. Its description in RNAcentral is "partial 16S ribosomal RNA". It matches the Rfam family "Bacterial small subunit ribosomal RNA", at positions 1105 to 1382 of the family's 1533-position model. The record is from RNAcentral.